RNAcentral lists this long non-coding RNA (728 nucleotides) under Homo sapiens (human). RNAcentral describes it as "non-protein coding lnc-ATAD5-9:6". Lineage: Eukaryota; Metazoa; Chordata; Mammalia; Primates; Hominidae. The record is from RNAcentral.
UUUUUUUUUUUUUUUUCUAAUUUUUGGUUGGUGGCGGCGGUGCUGGGCCAGGGGAAGGAAGGGACACGGAGGCCGCCCUCGCCCCGCCACCUCCUACCAGCUUCCCCCCAGCCCCGGCUCCGGGAGAUGUGCCGGGCGGGGGGCCCGGGUUCGCCGAGCCGCAGGAGAGACACGCUGGGCCGACCCCAGAGCGGCGCUGGACAGAGCCAACACAGAUCUAUAGAUUUCUUUGAACUCGGAAUCUCAUAGCACCAAUAUUUUUGCACAGAACUCUUACUUACAUGUCUCAUCGAAACUCCAGAACAAACAUCAAAAGCUUGUCAGCUCAUUUGCAGCUUACAUUUUUGGUUUCUUCCACAAAAAUGAUAAGCCAUCACCAAACUCAGAAAAUGAACAAAAUUCUGUUACCCUGGAAGUCCUGCUUGUGAAAGUUUGCCACAAAAAAAGAAAGGAUGUAUGUUGUCCAAUAAGGCAAGUUCCCACAGAGUGACUCGUCCAAGAAGAAGAGAGUUUAAUGGAAUGAUUAAUGGAGAAACCAUGAAAAUAUUGAUGUCAGUGAAGAGCUUCCAGCCAGAAGAAAAUGAAAUCGUGAGGAUGGGGAAAAGACAUUUGUUGCACAAAUGACAGUAUUUGAUAAAAACAGGUAAUGUUGAUGAACAAGCGAGGCUCCCACAAUGUUCUGGAAAUGUUUUCAUUCUGAAGCAGAAUAUAAUUAUUUAUAUUGAUUA